RNAcentral lists this small nucleolar RNA (228 nucleotides) under Trichophyton rubrum BMU01672. RNAcentral describes it as "HACA-box snoRNA". The record is from RNAcentral. Lineage: Eukaryota; Fungi; Ascomycota; Eurotiomycetes; Onygenales; Arthrodermataceae.
UGGUCGGGCUGACGAAUAGCCGCCUGCACAAGGUGGUAAGGGAGCAGGCGAGAGAGCUGCGAGAGAAAGUAGAUGAGGUCUACGAUGUUUUGAAAGGGUUAUUGGAGAUAUAGGCAACUAAAGGUUGGUCAGCGGACCACUUAUCAGGAGAUAUUAGUUAUGCCAUUUCAAUAGACUCACCUCAGAUUAGCUAUAGCUUUUCUAUGAUUGUAUAUGACCACAUACUCA